GACAGAGGGUGCAAACGUUGUUCGGAAUUACUGGGCGUAAAGCGUGUGUAGGCGGCCACGUAAGUCGGAUGUGAAAGCCCCGGGCUCAACCCGGGAAGUGCACUCGAUACUGCGUGGCUUGAGUACUGGAGAGGUUGGUGGAAUUCUCGGUGUAGAGGUGAAAUUCGUAGAUAUCGAGAGGAACACCGGUGGCGAAGGCGGCCAACUGGACAGAUACUGACGCUGAGACACGAAAGCGUGGGGAGCGAACAGG
Molecule: ribosomal RNA, 253 nt
Filed under: uncultured bacterium
Lineage: Bacteria
Description: partial 16S ribosomal RNA
Rfam family: Bacterial small subunit ribosomal RNA
Source: RNAcentral